GGGCCUAUAGCUCAGUGGUAGAGCAUCCGACUGCAGAUCGGGCGGUCGCUGGUUCGAAUCCGGCUGGGCCCU
Molecule: non-coding RNA, 72 nt
Organism: Cryptomeria japonica (Japanese cedar)
Lineage: Eukaryota; Viridiplantae; Streptophyta; Pinopsida; Cupressales; Cupressaceae
Source: the annotation of a RefSeq genome assembly